Molecule: ribosomal RNA, 498 nt
Filed under: uncultured bacterium
Lineage: Bacteria
Description: partial 16S ribosomal RNA
Rfam family: Bacterial small subunit ribosomal RNA
Source: RNAcentral
GAUGAACGCUGGCGGCGUGCCUAAUACAUGCAAGUCGAGCGAACAGACGAGGAGCUUGCUCCUCUGACGUUAGCGGCGGACGGGUGAGUAACACGUGGAUAACCUACCUAUAAGACUGGGAUAACUUCGGGAAACCGGAGCUAAUACCGGAUAAUAUAUUGAACCGCAUGGUUCAAUAGUGAAAGACGGUUUUGCUGUCACUUAUAGAUGGAUCCGCGCCGCAUUAGCUAGUUGGUAAGGUAACGGCUUACCAAGGCGACGAUGCGUAGCCGACCUGAGAGGGUGAUCGGCCACACUGGAACUGAGACACGGUCCAGACUCCUACGGGAGGCAGCAGUAGGGAAUCUUCCGCAAUGGGCGAAAGCCUGACGGAGCAACGCCGCGUGAGUGAUGAAGGUCUUCGGAUCGUAUAACUCUGUUAUUAGGGAAGAACAAAUGUGUAAGUAACUAUGCACGUCUUGACGGUACCUAAUCAGAAAGCCACGGCUAACUACGUGC